ACAGAGGUGGCAAGCGUUAUUCGGAUUUAUUGGGCGUAAAGGGCGCGUAGGCGGCCAGGUGCGUCCGGUGUGAAAGCGCUACCGCUCAACGGAGCGACUGCACUGGAUACGGCUUGGCUUGAGUCCGGGAGAGGUGAGUGGAAUUCCUGGUGUAGCGGUGGAAUGCGUAGAUAUCAGGAAGAACACCAGUGGCGAAGGCGGCUCACUGGCCCGGCACUGACGCUGAGGCGCGAAAGCGUGGGGAGCAAACGG
Molecule: ribosomal RNA, 252 nt
Filed under: uncultured prokaryote
Description: partial 16S rRNA
Rfam family: Bacterial small subunit ribosomal RNA
Source: RNAcentral